Molecule: ribosomal RNA, 311 nt
Filed under: uncultured bacterium
Lineage: Bacteria
Description: bacterial SSU rRNA
Rfam family: Bacterial small subunit ribosomal RNA
Source: RNAcentral
AUUGAACGCUGGCGGCAUGCCUUACACAUGCAAGUCGAACGGCAGCAUGAUCUAGCUUGCUAGAUUGAUGGCGAGUGGCGAACGGGUGAGUAAUACAUCGGAACGUGCCCUGUAGUGGGGGAUAACUAGUCGAAAGAUUAGCUAAUACCGCAUACGACCUGAGGGUGAAAGUGGGGGACUGCAAGGACCUUUCACUAUUGGAGCGGCCGAUAUCGGAUUAGCUAGUUGGUGAGGUAACGGCUCACCAAGGCGACGAUCCGUAGCUGGUUUGAGAGGACGACCAGCCACACUGGGACUGAGACACGGCCCAG